This 250-nucleotide ribosomal RNA is filed under the name uncultured bacterium. RNAcentral describes it as "partial 16S ribosomal RNA". It matches the Rfam family "Bacterial small subunit ribosomal RNA", at positions 57 to 305 of the family's 1533-position model. The record is from RNAcentral.
GCAAGUCGAACGGAGAAGCAGAUGCUUGCAUCUGUGGAUUAGUGGCGAAAGGGUGAGUAACGCGUGAACAAUCUGCCCCUAAGUUGGGAAUAGCCUCGGGAAACCGGGAUUAAUACCGAAUGUGAUCCUCUAUCGCAUGUUAGAGAGAUUAAAGAUUUAUUGCUUAGGGAUGAGUUCGCGUUCCAUUAGCUAGUUGGUAAGGUAACGGCUUACCAAGGCGACGAUGGAUAGCUGGUCUGAGAGGAUGAUC